UCACCAUCUUCAUCCAUCUACAAUCUUCAAUGGCCAUGGCUGCACAAGCUUCUCUCUUCACCCCAACGCUCUCAAACCCUGUUUCUCCAUGGAAACAGUCCUCCUUCACCGCCGUGAAGCAGCUCAAGCUCACCUCCCGUACCUUCACCAUCAAGGCAGCAGCCGAAGAGGUUGCCACCCCCACUAAAGAAGCUCCAGUUGGAUUCACCCCACCGGAACUCGACCCCAACACCCCAUCUCCCAUCUUCGCUGGAAGCACCGGUGGAUUGCUCCGAAAAGCUCAGGUGGAGGAGUUCUACGUCAUCACAUGGGAAUCCCCCAAGGAGCAGAUCUUCGAGAUGCCGACGGGAGGCGCUGCGAUCAUGAGGGAAGGACCUAAUCUAUUGAAAUUGGCGAGGAAGGAGCAGUGUUUGGCUUUGGGAACUAGAUUGAGGUCGAAAUACAAGAUCAAGUAUCAGUUCUACAGGGUGUUCCCAAAUGGUGAAGUACAGUAUUUGCACCCUAAAGAUGGGGUUUACCCGGAAAAGGUGAACGCCGGCCGACAAGGUGUGGGUCAAA
Molecule: long non-coding RNA, 558 nt
Filed under: Lactuca sativa (garden lettuce)
Lineage: Eukaryota; Viridiplantae; Streptophyta; Magnoliopsida; Asterales; Asteraceae
Description: long non-coding RNA (LSAT_LNC002125)
Source: RNAcentral